GACGAACGCUGGCGGCGUGCUUAACACAUGCAAGUCGAACGGAAAGGCCCUGCUUUUGUGGGGUGCUCGAGUGGCGAACGGGUGAGUAACACGUGAGUAACCUGCCCUUGACUUUGGGAUAACUUCAGGAAACUGGGGCUAAUACCGGAUAGGAGCUCCUGCUGCAUGGUGGGGGUUGGAAAGUUUCGGCGGUUGGGGAUGGACUCGCGGCUUAUCAGCUUGGUGGUGGGGUAGUGGCUUACCAAGGCUUUGACGGGUAGCCGGCCUGAGAGGGUGACCGGCCACAUUGGGAAUGAGAUACGGCCCAGACGCCUACGGGAGGAAGCAGUGGGGAAUAUUGCACAAUGGGCGGAAGCCUGAUGCAGCAACGCCGCGUGCGGGAUGACGGCCUUCGGGUUGUAAACCGCUUUCGCCUGUGACGAAGCGUGAGUGACGGUAAUGGGUAAAGAAGCACCGGCUAACUACGUG
RNAcentral lists this ribosomal RNA (468 nucleotides) under uncultured bacterium. RNAcentral describes it as "partial 16S ribosomal RNA". It matches the Rfam family "Bacterial small subunit ribosomal RNA", at positions 28 to 507 of the family's 1533-position model. The record is from RNAcentral.